This 518-nucleotide unclassified non-coding RNA is filed under the name Hevea brasiliensis (rubber tree). Lineage: Eukaryota; Viridiplantae; Streptophyta; Magnoliopsida; Malpighiales; Euphorbiaceae. The record is from RNAcentral.
GGUAUCUGUUUGAGUUUCAUUCCUUCAAUCUCCCUACUAAAAAAAAUAUUGAAUUGGAUUAAACUCGCUGAGUUGAUUCAGUAGCUGAACUCGUUUACCGGUGAGUGAACCCGCAGAGAAGCUAAUAUCUGUGUGCCAAUGCCACUUCCUAACACCCGCCUGAUACCCAAUGGCACUUCUCAGCCACUCUCUUUCUGCCAUCACUACCACUUUCUUCCUCUUGAAGAAUCGCAUCAUUUAAAAGCAACGGUAAACCUACUCAGCUCCUUUCCUUGCAAUUCCGAUUCCCUGCCUUUACUUAUCGAGUUUCAGAAUACCCUGUUCCUCUUUUUCUUUUGACCUCUGAUUAUUCGUAUGGGUUUUAUUUCAUUAUUUUAUUUAUCGGUGAAAGGGAAGCCUUUAACCUUAUCAAGAAAAAUACAAGAAUCCUAUCUGUUGUUUCGCAUUUGAGACGAAGAAGGACUUGCCCGUAACAAAUCAUCGAAACUUGUUUAGUAUUUUAUUGCAAAAUAGCCAAU